UACGUAGGGUGCAAGCGUUAAUCGGAAUUACUGGGCGUAAAGCGUGCGCAGGCGGUUUUGUAAGACUGUCGUGAAAUCCCCGGGCUUAACCUGGGAACUGCGCUUGUGACUGCAAGGCUAGAGUACGGCAGAGGGGGGUGGAAUUCCACGUGUAGCAGUGAAAUGCGUAGAUAUGUGGAGGAACACCGAUGGCGAAGGCAGCCCCCUGGGUCAAAACUGACGCUCAUGCACGAAAGCGUGGGGAGCAAACAGG
Molecule: ribosomal RNA, 253 nt
Filed under: uncultured bacterium
Lineage: Bacteria
Description: partial 16S ribosomal RNA
Rfam family: Bacterial small subunit ribosomal RNA
Source: RNAcentral